CCUACGGGUGGCAGCAGUCGAGAAUCAUUCACAAUGGGGGAAACCCUGAUGGUGCGACGCCGCGGGGGGGAAUGAAGGUCUUCGGAUUGUAAACCCCUGUCAUGUGGGAGCAAAUUAAAAAGAUAGUACCACAAGAGGAAGAGACGGCUAACUCUGUGCCAGCAGCCGCGGUAAUACAGAGGUCUCAAGCGUUGUUCGGAAUCACUGGGCGUAAGGCGUGCGUAGGCUGUUUCGUAAGUCGUGUGUGAAAGGCGCGGGCUCAACCCGCGGACGGCACAUGAUACUGCGAGACUAGAGUAAUGGAGGGGGAACCGGAAUUCUCGGUGUAGCAGUGAAAUGCGUAGAUAUCGAGAGGAACACUCGUGGCGAAGGCGGGUUCCUGGACAUUAACUGACGCUGAGGCACGAAGGCCAGGGGAGCGAAAGGGAUUAGAUACCCCAGUAGUC
This 446-nucleotide ribosomal RNA is filed under the name uncultured bacterium. RNAcentral describes it as "partial 16S ribosomal RNA". It matches the Rfam family "Bacterial small subunit ribosomal RNA", at positions 338 to 795 of the family's 1533-position model. The record is from RNAcentral.